Small nuclear RNA from Tupaia belangeri (northern tree shrew), 164 nucleotides. Its record names the gene U1. It matches the Rfam family "U1 spliceosomal RNA". Rfam says of the family: U1 is a small nuclear RNA (snRNA) component of the spliceosome (involved in pre-mRNA splicing). The record is from Ensembl. Lineage: Eukaryota; Metazoa; Chordata; Mammalia; Scandentia; Tupaiidae.
AUACUUACCUGGCAGGGGAGAUACCAUGAUCAUGAAGGUGGUUUUCCUAGGGCAAGGCUUAUCCAAGGCUUAUCCGGAUGUGCUGACCCCUGUGAUUUCCCAUAUGUGGGAAACUCAAAUGCAUAAUUUGUGAUAGGGAGGGACUGAAUUCUCACUUUCCCCUG